Molecule: transfer RNA, 59 nt
Filed under: Lycoprogenthes sp. UPOL A00530
Lineage: Eukaryota; Metazoa; Arthropoda; Insecta; Coleoptera; Lycidae
Also listed under: 3 other names
Description: tRNA-Leu
Source: RNAcentral
UGUGGCAGACUAGUGUAAUAAACUUAAGAUUUAUAAAUAAAAUAAAAUUUCUUUAGAAG